GAUGAACGCUGGCGGCGUGCCUAAUACAUGCAAGUCGAGCGAACAGACGAGGAGCUUGCUCCUCUGACGUUAGCGGCGGACGGGUGAGUAACACGUGGAUAACCUACCUAUAAGACUGGGAUAACUUCGGGAAACCGGAGCUAAUACCGGAUAAUAUAUUGAACCGCAUGGUUCAAUAGUGAAAGACGGUUUUGCUGUCACUUAUAGAUGGAUCCGCGCCGCAUUAGCUAGUUGGUAAGGUAACGGCUUACCAAGGCAACGAUGGGUAGCCGACCUGAGAGGGUGACCGGCCACACUGGAACUGAGACACGGUCCAGACUCCUACGGGAGGCAGCAGUAGGGAAUCUUCGGCAAUGGGCGAAAGCCUGACGGAGCAACGCCGCGUGAGUGAUGAAGGUCUUCGGAUCGUAAAACUCUGUUGUUAGGGAAGAACAAAUGUGUAAGUAACUAUGCACGGCUUGACGGUACCUAAUCAGAAAGCCACGGCUAACUACGUG
Molecule: ribosomal RNA, 497 nt
Filed under: uncultured bacterium
Lineage: Bacteria
Description: partial 16S ribosomal RNA
Rfam family: Bacterial small subunit ribosomal RNA
Source: RNAcentral